This 444-nucleotide ribosomal RNA is filed under the name Tiniocellus sarawacus. RNAcentral's name for it is "partial 16S ribosomal RNA". Lineage: Eukaryota; Metazoa; Arthropoda; Insecta; Coleoptera; Scarabaeidae. The record is from RNAcentral.
CAUGUCUUUUUGAUUAUAAUUUAAAGUCUGACCUGCCCUAUGAAUUUGUUAAAUGGCCGCGAUAUUUUGAUCGUGCAAAGGUAGCAUAAUCAUUAGUUUCUUAAUUAGGAACUGGAAUGAAAGGUCGAACGAGAAAAGUACUGUCUCAAUUUAAUUUAAUUAGAAUUUUAUAUUUAAGUAAAAAAGCUUAAAUGAUUUUAAAAGACGAGAAGACCCUAUAGAGUUUUAUAUUUAUUUAUUUUUGAUGGAGGUUUAGAAUUUAAUUUUAUUAUUACUAAAUAAAUAUUUGGUUGGGGUGAUUAUAAAAUUAAUAAAACUUUUAUUUUUUUUUUUCAUUGAUAUAUGAUUUUUUGAUCCAUUUUUUAUGAUUAAAAGAUUAAAUUACCUUAGGGAUAACAGCGUUAUUUUUUUUAAGAGUUCUUAUCGAUAAAAAAGUUUGCGACC